CAGCAGCCGCGGUGAUACGUAGGUGGCAAGCGUUGUCCGGAAUUAUUGGGCGUAAAGGGCUCGCAGGCGGUUUCUUAAGUCUGAUGUGAAAGCCCCCGGCUCAACCGGGGAGGAUCAUUGGAAACUGGGAAACUUGAGUGCAGAAGAGGAGAGUGGAAUUCCACGUGUAGCGGUGAAAUGCGUAGAGAUGUGGAGGAACACCAGUGGCGAAGGCGACUCUCUGGUCUGUAACUGACGCUGAGGAGCGAAAGCGUGGGGAGCGAACAGGAUUAGAUACCCCGGUAGUCCCUGUCUCUUAUAC
RNAcentral lists this ribosomal RNA (301 nucleotides) under uncultured bacterium. RNAcentral's name for it is "partial 16S ribosomal RNA". It matches the Rfam family "Bacterial small subunit ribosomal RNA", at positions 509 to 807 of the family's 1533-position model. The record is from RNAcentral.